CAGCAUUCUGUCAUUUCGAUUAUGGCAUUGCAGUGAACACCAGUUGUUUUAUGAGUACCUACACGAGGUUGUUGUAUUUUUACGAUUGCUGCAGCGCUUCGAAAAAGACUAUCAAAAUUCAAAAUCAAACAAUAUUACUUAAAACAAAAUAACGUAAUAACAAAUUAGUUAUUAAAUCAAACAGUAUAUUUUAUUCAUCGUUUUUUUUUCGUAAUAAUUUUUUUGAGAAUCGUUUUCGUAUUGUGCUUCCAAACAAUUCUGUGACAUUAUUCAUUUUGAAAAAUGAAAUUCAUAUGCUGUGUAUUUUUGUGCGGCGUUUUGUGGAGUUCACCAUCACAUAGUUUGAAAAAAAUACGCGUGGGCUUAGGUGAACCAAAUCCACCAUUGAAUAAAAAUGUGAUCGAUAUUGAAGACAAGUGGUUUAUACAAAAAUUAGAUCACUUUAAUCCUACUGAUAAUAGAACAUGGAAACAGAGGUAUCAAGUAAACCAGAAAUAUUACAAGAAGGAUGGCCCUGUGUUUUUGAUGAUAGGAGGAGAAGGUCCAAUUUCAGCCAAAUGGAUGUACAGCGGGGCUUGGAUUAAUUAUGCUGAAGAAUUUAAUGCUUUAUGUUUUCAAUUAGAACAUCGGUAUUAUGGCAAAAGCCAUCCUACCGAAGAUAUGAGUACCAAAAAUUUAGUAUAUUUGAGUAGUGAACAAGCAUUAACGGAUUUGGCGGAAUUUAUAGUCAACAUUCGUACAAAGUAUGAUAUUCCAGCUACUGCUAAAUGGGUAGCAUUUGGAGGGUCUUACCCAGGAUCUUUGGCUGCAUGGUUGAGAAUGAAAUUUCCACAUCUAGUGCACGCUGCAGUAUCUUCAAGUGGUCCCUUAUUGGCAAAAAUAGAUUUUAAAGAAUAUUUUACGGUGGUUGAAAAUGCAUUAGCAACGUAUUCACCGGAAUGUGUAUUACAAAUCAAACAAGCAAAUCAAAUGAUUGAUAGCCAAAUAAAAACAAGGAAAGGAGCAAAAAUAAUUGAAAAAAAAUUCAAAUUAUGCGAUCCAUUAGAUAUAAACAAAAAAAAUGACAUAGAAAACUUGUUUGAGACUUUAGCUGGAAAUUUUGCUGACAUUGUACAAUACAAUAAGGAUAACAGAUUUUAUGAAAACCCUGAACGGUCAUUAGUAACAUUGGAAACUUUAUGUGAUAUUAUGGUUAACAAAACAAUAAUAAAUUCAUUAGACAAGUAUGCAGAUGUUAAUAACAAACUAUUAUCCAUCAAUAAUUUAACGUGUACAGAACACGUCUAUACCAAGAUGAUUGAUUCUUAUUUGAAUACAAGUUGGAAUAGUGAUUCAGCAGCAGGAGGUCGACAAUGGACUUAUCAAACUUGUACAGAGUUUGGCUUUUUCCAAACAUCCAAUCAAAAUGAUCAUGUGUUUGGUAAUAAGUUUCCAGCUGAAUUUUUUAUAGAUAUGUGCUCUGAUAUUUUUGGAAAGUUGUAUAAUUUUGAUAUUUUGUCUAAUGGAAUUAAAAGAAGUAAUAUUAUGUACGGUGAAUUGAACAUAAAAGAAAACCGAGUAAUUUAUGUUCAUGGAUCUGUUGAUCCGUGGCAUGCAUUAGGCAUCACGCACACAAAAACAAAGAAUAACGUUGCAAUUUAUAUAGAGGGGACAGCUCAUUGUGCAAAUAUGUAUCCUCCAUCUCCUACAGAUCUUCCACAACUGAAACAUGCUCGUGAAAUGAUUAGAGCAUUUUUGAGUGAAUGGUUAACACAAAAUGACAUUAAUGAAGUAUCUGAAUUCGACAAUAUAGAAUUUAAAUACAAAGUUUAAAAUACAAUAUUUUUAUUACCUUCAAGGCUUCAAAAUAGAAUUUUGAUAAGCAUAACUAGUCGAAAUAAUGCUUCAAUUCAAACUUUGAGGUGGUUUCCGAUGGAAAAGUGAAUAUCCUUGGUGCAUAAUAGAGGUCAAAAGUAAACAUUUUCCAGCAGUUUUCAAUAAAAUCGAGAAAAACAAAAAAAGAGUGACGGAAAAGCGGGAAUUUUUACGCAAAACCAGUUUUCGACCAAAUCGAUUUUUUUAUUUAGUUGUUACUCAAAAACUAAUCACUAUAAAUACUUGAAAUUUUCACCAAACGUUUAUGUUACUGUUAAUUGUUAUUAAUACAUGGCUAAACUUUCAAAAUA
Molecule: RNA transcript, 2165 nt
Organism: Aphis gossypii (cotton aphid)
Lineage: Eukaryota; Metazoa; Arthropoda; Insecta; Hemiptera; Aphididae
Gene name: putative serine protease K12H4.7
Exons: 11
Source: RefSeq, a predicted model, not a curated record